GACGAACGCUGGCGGCGUGCUUAACACAUGCAAGUCGAACGGAAAGGCCCUGCUUUUGUGGGGUGCUCGAGUGGCGAACGGGUGAGUAACACGUGAGUAACCUGCCCUUGACUUUGGGAUAACUUCAGGAAACUGGGGCUAAUACCGGAUAGGAGCUCCUGCUGCAUGGUGGGGGUUGGAAAGUUUCGGCGGUUGGGGAUGGACUCGCGGUGUAUCAGCUUGUUGGUGGGGUAGUGGCUUACCAAGGCUUUGCCGGGUAGCCGGCCUGAGAGGGUGACCGGCCACAUUGGGACUGAGCUACGGCCCAGACUCCUACGGGAGGCAGCAGUGGGGAAUAUUGCACAAUGGGCGGAAGCCUGAUGCAGCAACGCCGCGUGCGGGAUGACGGCCUUCGGGUUGUAAACCGCUUUCGCCUGUGACGAAGCGUGAGUGACGGUAAUGGGUAAAGAAGCACCGGCUAACUACGUG
Molecule: ribosomal RNA, 468 nt
Filed under: uncultured bacterium
Lineage: Bacteria
Description: partial 16S ribosomal RNA
Rfam family: Bacterial small subunit ribosomal RNA
Source: RNAcentral